AGAGUUUGAUCCUGGCUCAGAUUGAACGCUGGCGGAAUGCUUUACACAUGCAAGUCGAACGGCAGCACGGGUGCUUGCACCUGGUGGCGAGUGGCGAACGGGUGAGUAAUGCGUCGGAACGUACCGAGUAAUGGGGGAUAACGCAGCGAAAGUUGUGCUAAUACCGCAUACGCCCUGAGGGGGAAAGUGGGGGACCGCAAGGCCUCACGUUAUUCGAGCGGCCGACGUCUGAUUAGCUAGUUGGUGGGGUAAAGGCCUACCAAAGGCGAUCAGUAGCGGGUCUGAGAGGAUGAUCCGCCACACUGGGACUGAGACACGGCCCAGACUCCUACGGGAGGCAGCAGUGGGGAAUUUUGGACAAUGGGGGCAACCCUGAUCCAGCCAUUCCGCGUGAGUGAAGAAGGCCUUCGGGUUGUAAAGCUCUUUCAGCAGGAACGAAACGGUACGCUCUAACAUAGUGUGCUAAUGACGGUACCUGCAGAAGAAGCACCGGCUAACUACGUGCCAGCAGCCGCGGUAAUACGUAGGGUGCGAGCGUUAAUCGGAAUUACUGGCGUAAAGCGUGCGCAGGCGGAUUGUUAAGCAAGAUGUGAAAUCCCCGGGCUUAACCUGGGAAUGGCAUUUUGAACUGGCAGUCUAGAGUGUGUCAGAGGGGGUGGAAUUCCACGUGUAGCAGUGAAAUGCGCAGAGAUGUGGAGGAACACCAAUGGCGAAGGCAGCCCCCUGGGAUAACACUGACGCUCAUGUACGAAAGCGUGGGUAGCAAACAGGAUUAGAUACCCUGGUAGUCCACGCCCUAAACGAUGUCAACUGGUUGUUGGGGGAGUGAAAUCCCUUAGUAACGAAGCUAACGCGUGAAGUUGACCGCCUGGGGAGUACGGUCGCAAGAUUAAAACUCAAAGGAAUUGACGGGGACCCGCACAAGCGGUGGAUGAUGUGGAUUAAUUCGAUGCAACGCGAAAAACCUUACCUACCCUUGACAUGUCCGGAAUCCUGAAGAGAUUUGGGAGUGCUCGAAAGAGAACCGGAACACAGGUGCUGCAUGGCUGUCGUCAGCUCGUGUCGUGAGAUGUUGGGUUAAGUCCCGCAACGAGCGCAACCCUUAUCAUUAGUUGCUACGCAAGGGCACUCUAAUGAGACUGCCGGUGACAAACCGGAGGAAGGUGGGGAUGACGUCAAGUCCUCAUGGCCCUUAUGGGUAGGGCUUCACACGUCAUACAAUGGUCGGUACAGAGGGUUGCCAAGCCGCGAGGUGGAGCCAAUCCCAGAAAGCCGAUCGUAGUC
This 1284-nucleotide ribosomal RNA is filed under the name metagenome. RNAcentral's name for it is "bacterial SSU rRNA". It matches the Rfam family "Bacterial small subunit ribosomal RNA", at positions 8 to 1293 of the family's 1533-position model. The record is from RNAcentral.